Acanthosepion pharaonis is the source of this 110-nucleotide non-coding RNA. Lineage: Eukaryota; Metazoa; Mollusca; Cephalopoda; Sepiida; Sepiidae. The record is from the annotation of a GenBank genome assembly.
GACCACACCACGUUGAAACAACGCUUCUCGUAAGAUCACUGAAGUUAAGCAACUUCAAACCUGAUCAGUACCUAGAUUGGUGACGUUAUAGGAAUACCAAGUGCUGUAAG